This 68-nucleotide transfer RNA is filed under the name Lebiini sp. 2 ACP-2013. RNAcentral's name for it is "tRNA-Cys". Lineage: Eukaryota; Metazoa; Arthropoda; Insecta; Coleoptera; Carabidae. The record is from RNAcentral.
GUUUUAUAGUUUAAAUAAAACAUUAAAUUGCAAAUUUAACAAUAGAUUCAAUUUGUUCUUAAAACCUU